RNAcentral lists this transfer RNA (72 nucleotides) under Camelus bactrianus (Bactrian camel). It matches the Rfam family "tRNA". Rfam says of the family: Transfer RNA (tRNA) molecules are approximately 80 nucleotides in length. Their secondary structure includes four short double-helical elements and three loops (D, anti-codon, and T loops). RNAcentral also lists the same sequence under 2 other names. Lineage: Eukaryota; Metazoa; Chordata; Mammalia; Artiodactyla; Camelidae. The record is from Rfam by way of RNAcentral.
GAGAGUAUAGCUCAGUGGUAGAGCAUAUGCUUAGCACGCACGAGGUCCUGGGUUCAAUCCCCAGUACCUCCA